Molecule: ribosomal RNA, 867 nt
Filed under: uncultured bacterium
Lineage: Bacteria
Description: bacterial SSU rRNA
Rfam family: Bacterial small subunit ribosomal RNA
Source: RNAcentral
UGCGGGGCGGUCUUACCAUGCAGUCGAACGAGGUCCAAGCGUUAGCAAUAACGUGGAAGACCUAGUGGCGAACGGGUGAGUAACACGUGAGGAACCUACCCCGGACUCAGGGAUAACAGACGGAAACAUCUGCUAAUACCUGAUACCGUCGGCGCAUCACAUGGUGCACUGACGAAAGAAUCUCGGUUCGGGAGGGUCUCGCGGCCUAUCAGCUAGUUGGUGGGGUAACGGCCUACCAAGGCAUCGACGGGUAGCUGGUCUGAGAGGAUGAUCAGCCACACUGGGACUGAGACACGGCCCAGACUCCUACGGGAGGCAGCAGUGGGGAAUCUUGCGCAAUGGGCGAAAGCCUGACGCAGCAACGCCGCGUGCGGGAAGAAGGCCUUAGGGUUGUAAACCGCUUUCAGUAGGAACGAAAAUGACGGUACCUGCAGAAGAAGGUGCGGCCGACUACGUGCCAGCAGCCGCGGUGACACGUAGGCACCAAGCGUUGUCCGGAUUUAUUGGGCGUAAAGAGCUCGUAGGCGGUUCAGUAAGUCGGGUGUGAAAACUCUGGGCUUAACCCAGAGCCGCCACUCGAUACUGCUGUGACUUGAGUUCGGUAGGGGAGCAGGGAAUUCCUAGUGUAGCGGUGAAAUGCGCAGAUAUUAGGAGGAACACCGGUGGCGAAGGCGCUGCUCUGGGCCGAUACUGACGCUGAGGAGCGAAAGCGUGGGUAGCAAACAGGAUUAGAUACCCUGGUAGUCCACGCCGUAAACGUUGGGCACUAGGUGUGGGUUCCAACCAACGGAAUCCGCGCCGUCGCUAACGCAUUAAGUGCCCCGCCUGGGGAGUACGGCGGCACGCUAAACUCAAAGGAAUUGACGG